This 477-nucleotide ribosomal RNA is filed under the name uncultured anaerobic ammonium-oxidizing bacterium. Its description in RNAcentral is "bacterial SSU rRNA". It matches the Rfam family "Bacterial small subunit ribosomal RNA", at positions 365 to 832 of the family's 1533-position model. The record is from RNAcentral.
UUCGCAAUGCCCGAAAGGGUGACGAAGCGACGCCGCGUGUGGGAAGAAGGCCUUCGGGUUGUAAACCACUGUCGGGAGUUAAGAAAUGCAAGGAUAUUAAUAGUGUCUUUGUUUGACUAAGGCUCCGGAGGAAGCCACGGCUAACUCUGUGCCAGCAGCCGCGGUAAUACAGAGGCGGCAAGCGUUGUUCGGAAUUAUUGGGCGUAAAGAGCACGUAGGCGGCUAUGUAAGUCGGUUGUGAAAGCCUUCCGCUCAACGGAAGAACAGCAUCCGAUACUACAUGGCUUGAGUGCGGGAGGGGAGAGUGGAACUUCUGGUGGAGCGGUGAAAUGCGUAGAUAUCAGAAGGAACGCCGGCGGCGAAAGCGGUUCUCUGGCCCAUAACUGACGCUGAGUGUGCGAAAGCUAGGGGAGCAAACGGGAUUAGAUACCCCGGUAGUCCUAGCCGUAAACGAUGGGCACUAAGUAGAGGGGUUUU